CUCAGGAUGAACGCUAGCUACAGGCUUAACACAUGCAAGUCGAGGGAAACGAUAUUGGAAGCUUGCUUCCGAUAGGCGUCGACCGGCGCACGGGUGAGUAACGCGUAUCCAACCUGCCCACCACUUGGGGAUAACCUUGCGAAAGUAAGACUAAUACCCAAUGACGUCUCUAGAAGACAUCUGAAAGAGAUUAAAGAUUUAUCGGUGAUGGAUGGGGAUGCGUCUGAUUAGCUUGUUGGCGGGGUAACGGCCACCAAGGCAACGAUCAGUAGGGGUUCUGAGAGGAAGGUCCCCCACAUUGGAACUGAGACACGGUCCAAACUCCUACGGGAGGCAGCAGUGAGGAAUAUUGGUCAAUGGGCGAGAGCCUGAACCAGCCAAGUAGCGUGCAGGACGACGGCCCUAUGGGUUGUAAACUGCUUUUAUAAGGGAAUAAAGUGAGUCUCGUGAGACUUUUUGCAUGUACCUUAUGAAUAAGGACCGGCUAAUUCCGUG
This 495-nucleotide ribosomal RNA is filed under the name uncultured bacterium. RNAcentral describes it as "bacterial SSU rRNA". It matches the Rfam family "Bacterial small subunit ribosomal RNA", at positions 23 to 507 of the family's 1533-position model. The record is from RNAcentral.